AGCCCGGGGAGAGGCCUCUAAGGCCACUGCUGCCGCCGCCGCAGCCGCCACCACCUUCGGGGCGGGUUCUCCUCUCGCGGUUCCGACAGCUGGGGCGCUCCCUCAGCCGCCGCUCCCGGGGGCGCGGGCUCUGGUGGCCCCGGCCGACGAGGACGCCCUGCGUGCUCCCCGCGUGCUGUCGCCGCCCAGGCCGGGGAGCUGCUACCGCCUCCCUCGGCAUCCGGGGCCGGCAUGGAGCUCUUUCAAGCCAAGGACCACUACAUCCUGCAGCAGGGCGAGCGCGCACUGUGGUGCAGCCGCCGCGAUGGCGGCCUCCAGCUCCGACCCGCUACUGAUCUACUUCUUGCCUGGAAUCCCAUUUGUUUGGGUUUGGUAGAAGGAGUUAUUGGGAAAAUUCAGCUUCAUUCAGAUCUUCCAUGGUGGCUUAUUUUAAUUCGGCAGAAAGCGCUGGUGGGAAAACUUCCAGGAGACCAUGAGGUCUGUAAAGUUACCAAAAUUGCUGUGCUAUCACUUUCUGAAAUGGAACCUCAGGAUCUUGACCUAGAGCUUUGUAAGAAGCAUCACUUUGGAAUUAACAAACCAGAGAAGAUUAUACCAUCUCCUGAUGACUCAAAGUUUCUGCUGAAGACCUUUACACAUAUUAAAUCCAAUGUGUCUGCUCCUAAUAAAAAGAAAGUUAAGGAAAGUAAAGAAAAGGAGAAGUUGGAGAGGAGAUUACUUGAGGAGUUGCUGAAGAUGUUUAUGGACGCGGAAUCCUUUUACUAUAGCUUGACCUAUGACCUGACCAAUUCAGUGCAGAGGCAAAGCACUGGGGAGAGCGACCCCCGGCCCCUCUGGCAGAAGGUUGAUGACCGAUUUUUUUGGAAUAAAUAUAUGAUACGCGAUCUUACUGAGAUUGGUACCCCGGAUGUGGAUUUCUGGAUUAUCCCCAUUAUCCAGGGUUUUGUGCAGAUUGAAGAACUUGUGGUGAAUUAUAACGAAUCAUCUGAUGAUGAGAAAAGCAGCCCAGAGACCCCGCCUCAGGAGCCCACCUGCGUGGAUGACAUUCACCCACGAUUUUUAGUGGCUCUCAUUUCACGCCGCAGCAGGCACAGAGCAGGGAUGCGCUAUAAACGAAGAGGAGUGGAUAAAAAUGGAAAUGUUGCAAAUUACGUGGAGACUGAGCAGUUAAUUCAUGUUCAUAAUCAUACCUUGUCGUUUAUUCAAACUCGAGGCUCUGUGCCUGUCUUUUGGAGCCAGGUUGGAUAUCGAUACAAUCCAAGACCUCGGCUGGACAAAAGUGAAAAGGAAACUGUUGCCUAUUUCUGUGCCCAUUUUGAAGAACAACUGAAAAUUUACAAAAAACAGGUUAUUAUUAACUUGGUAGACCAGGCAGGAAGAGAGAAAAUUAUUGGCGACGCUUACCUGAAGCAGGUGUUGCUCUUUAACAACUCACACCUCACUUACGUUUCAUUUGACUUCCAUGAGCAUUGCCGAGGAAUGAAGUUUGAGAAUGUUCAAACACUAACAGAUGCUAUUUAUGACAUUAUUCUUGACAUGAAGUGGUGUUGGGUUGACCAAGCUGGGGUAAUAUGUAAGCAAGAAGGGAUUUUUCGAGUUAAUUGCAUGGACUGCUUGGAUCGCACCAACGUGGUCCAAGCUGCCAUCGCACGAGUGGUCAUGGAACAGCAGUUGAAAAAAUUAGGUGUGAUGCCCCCGGAGCAGCCACUCCCAGUGAAAUGCAAUCGGAUCUAUCAGAUAAUGUGGGCCAACAACGGUGACUCCAUUAGCAGGCAGUACGCUGGGACAGCUGCUCUGAAGGGUGACUUUACAAGGACAGGAGAAAGGAAGUUAGCAGGAGUUAUGAAAGAUGGUGUUAACUCGGCAAAUAGGUAUUACCUGAAUCGAUUUAAGGAUGCUUAUAGGCAAGCUGUUAUAGAUUUGAUGCAAGGCAUUCCAGUGACAGAAGACCUUUAUUCCAUAUUUAACAAGGAGAAAGAGCAUGAAGCUUUGCAUAAGGAAAAUCAGAGGAGCCACCAGGAGCUAAUUAGCCAGCUCUUACAGAGUUACAUGAAGCUACUACUGCCUGAUGAGGAGAAGUUCCACGGCGGCUGGGCCCUCAUUGACUGUGACCCCAGCCUCAUUGAUGCUACUCACAGAGAUGUGGAUGUGCUGUUACUGCUUUCUAAUUCUGCCUACUACGUGGCCUAUUAUGAUGAUGAAGUUGAUAAAGUAAGCCAGUAUCAACGACUAAGUCUAGAAGACCUGGAAAAAAUAGAAAUAGGUCCUGAACCCACUCUUUUUGGUAAGCCAAAGUUCUCCUGCAUGCGAUUGCACUACAGAUAUAAAGAAGCAAGUGGUUAUUUCCACACACUGAGAGCUGUAAUGCGCAAUCCAGAAGAGGAUGGAAAAGAUACCCUGCAGUGCAUUGCAGAGAUGCUGCAAAUCACCAAGCAGGCUAUGGGAUUAGAUGUGCCUAUAAUCGAGAAAAAACUGGAGAGGAAGAGCAGUAAACCUCACGAAGACAUCAUUGGCAUCAGGUCUCAAAACCAAGGCUCUCUGGCCCAGGGGAAAAAUUUUUUAAUGAGCAAAUUUUCAUCUCUAAAUCAAAAAGUGAAACAGACCAAAUCCAAUGUAAAUAUUGGCAACCUACGAAAGCUAGGAAACUUUACAAAACCUGAAAUGAAAGUUAACUUUCUAAAACCAAACUUAAAAGUAAAUCUUUGGAAAUCAGAUAGUAGUCUUGAAACCAUGGAAAACGCAGGUGUGAUGGAUAAUAAAGUCCAGGCAGAGUCUGAUGGGGAAAUGUCUUCAGAUAAUGACUCAUACCACUCAGAUGAAUUCCUUACAAAUUCCAAGUCUGAUGAAGACAGGCAGCUAGCGAAUUCUUUGGAGAAUGUAGGGCCAAUAGACUAUGUUCUUCCUAGCUGUGGUAUUAUUGCUUCAGGCCCCCGACGGGGCAGUCGAUCCCAGUCUAUUAGCAGCACCGACAUUAGCAUUCCUGCUCCUUCAGAGAUCACUGUUGCUCAUGGAAGUGAGUUUGGAAAAGGCUAUCAGUCUCCUUUGAAAAAAAGUCCUUCUGCUGACAACAUACACAGACUGACGGGCGUUGCCAAGCCCGUGGAUAUGUACUGCCACAGAUUUGUACAAGAUGCACAAGGCAAAAUGACCCAGCUAUCAGAAACCAGAUCUGCUUCUCAGCAGGUUAGCGAGGAAGGCAAUCAAGUGACCAACCAAGUUUCUAAUGAAGAAACCCAAUCUGAAUCAAUGGAACAGAUACCUUCUCGACCAUCUCAAUUAGAUGUGUUGUCUUCUACAACAGGCCCACAGUUUUUGUCUGUUGAACCAGUCCUAUCUCAAAAGACCCCCGACUCUGGAUCCAGCCUGCUUGAACUUGAGACAGGGCUUCAUAUAACUCCUUCUCCUUCAGAGAGCAGCAGCAGCAGAGCCGUCUCGCCCUUCGCAAAGAUUCGGAGUUCCAUGGUCCAGGUUGCUACUAUUACCCAAGCUGGGUUAACCCACGGGAUAAACUUUGCAGUGGCAAAGGUUCAAAAGAGCCCUGCAGAACCUGAAAUGGUUAACGAAGUCCAGCAAAAUGAAUUUAAGAAUAUGUUUACACAAUGCCAGACACGAAUAAUUCAGAUUUAGUUUUUAGCUACAAAGGAUCGUUCUGUGGCUUUUAUUUAAUCAAAAAAAAAAUGGUUUCACAUAUUAGGCUAUUUUAACCUGUACUGUCUUUGACUCUAGGGAUCACAAAUUCUGUUUAUUGGAAAAGUUUUAAAAUUUAAAAGGAGUGUAAACCUGAGAUUUUCCAAAUUUGAGAGAACAGAAGUGCAUCAUCUGAGAAUGUGUAGACCUGAGUAGUUUAUGCACUACAGAGCGGUUUGUCUCUGAAAGUAAUUCUGAAAUGAAUUACUUAGAGACAUAACCUGAACCUUUUUUGGAGUGGGUGGUUGGGUGGGUUGAGUAAAGUACACACAUCAAGGAUGGUCAUGGAUACAUUUAGAGGGUUAGUAUUUUUUAUAAUUUUUGUCAUUUCAUUUUUGUGUAUUACCUCUACAAGGUAAAUACAUUUAGUUUUUAGUGACUUUGAAGUAUUGCUAGUAUGGAGAAGCAUUUGAAUAUAAAAAACGAUUGGUUUAGUUUUUAUGGCUCAACCGUUCCCUAUGAAGAAUUGAGGGUUAUUGGCAGUCCAGUCAAGAAAUGUAUCCUCAUUGGAUCCUAGUUUCCACCCUCUUCUACUUAAACAACUGUAACAUUUUCUGCCACCCUGUACACCCUGAAGUCUAGAAGCAUUAAGACUUGUCAGUUAUAAAACCUGAGACAUCAGAUGUGAAUACCAGCAACCAGUGUCUUGCUGUUUUCAGCAAGGGAGCGAAGGUUUUCUGAAGCAGAGUUAUAGCUCUUCCUGCCUGUGUGGAACUUGAGUAUGAGGACACCAUGCCGCACACCUUCCAUACUUAAUUUACUUCUGGUAAUGGUUUUCCAUCAAGAGGACACAGGAUCUCUUCAAAACAAAUCACAUGUGGUGAGUUUUAUUUCUUUGAAAGAGGGUUUUCCUUUCAAGGGAACUUUUCUGCAAGACCAAGCAUGUUCUUCUCUUUGGUAAAUUACAAUUCAAGUUGGCACAAUAAACACACAGUAACUAAUCUACUCUCCUGAAUUUUAUUCUCACAAAUCCAGCUGAGCUUUCAUUUCUAAAAGUUUAAGGAAUGUCUAGUCUACCAGUUAUAAAAAUGAAAACCAGUUAGAAUUUUAAAUAUAAACAUUAUUUACACUCGUUUAUAAAAAUAGCUUUUGAAUUUAUGAAAAGUUAAACAACUAGCAAUUUUCAGACUUCAGUUCACGAGGCAUAAUACCUUGACUUUCAAGGCUGACCCUGUUUCCUUGGUUAGCAAUGUCAGUUUAGGGGUGUGUGGAUCAUUUAACUGAUCUCUGAUAUUUCCAAUUAGGUGAGUUACUGACUAAAAGAAAUUAAUCUUUAUAUACAACCUUAAGUAAUGUAUCUAACCUUUCCAAAGAUUUUUGAUGCCACAAUUACACUAUACUGCAUUGAUUUGCUUUCUAGCUGUGGAUGAUGAUAUGUUUGUUCUUUUAAAAACUUGUAUGUUAAAACUGUGGUCUGGAGGGCCGGUCGAGUGGCUCAGUUGGUUAAGA
This is an RNA transcript of Hipposideros armiger (great roundleaf bat), 5136 nucleotides long. It is a transcript of the gene named inositol polyphosphate-5-phosphatase F, with no coding region annotated. Lineage: Eukaryota; Metazoa; Chordata; Mammalia; Chiroptera; Hipposideridae. The record is from RefSeq and is a predicted model, not a curated record. The transcript has 21 exons.